UUUUUGUUGGUUUCUAGGACCGCCGUAAUGAUUAAUAGGGACAGUCGGGGGCAUCAGUAUUCAAUUGUCAGAGGUGAAAUUCUUGGAUUUAUUGAAGACUAACUACUGCGAAAGCAUUUGCCAAGGAUGUUUUCAUUAAUCAGGAACGAAAGUUAGGGGAUCGAAGACGAUCAGAUACCGUCGUAGUCUUAACCAUAAACUAUGCCGACUAGGGAUCGGACGAUGUUAUUUUUUGACUCGUUCGGCACCUUACGAGAAAUCAAAGUGCUUGGGCUCCAGGGGGAGUAUGGUCGCAAGGCUGAAACUUAAAGAAAUUGACGGAAGGGCACCACCAGGGGUGGAGCCUGCGGCUUAAUUUGACUCAACACGGGGAAACUCACCAGGUCCAGA
RNAcentral lists this ribosomal RNA (390 nucleotides) under Purpureocillium sp. RS2. RNAcentral describes it as "SSU rRNA". It matches the Rfam family "Eukaryotic small subunit ribosomal RNA", at positions 838 to 1228 of the family's 1831-position model. The record is from RNAcentral. Lineage: Eukaryota; Fungi; Ascomycota; Sordariomycetes; Hypocreales; Ophiocordycipitaceae.